Molecule: non-coding RNA, 68 nt
Organism: Pelobates cultripes (western spadefoot toad)
Lineage: Eukaryota; Metazoa; Chordata; Amphibia; Anura; Pelobatidae
Source: the annotation of a GenBank genome assembly
CCAGGGCACUCCUGGCACCAUAACCACUACAUAGUUGUGUAGUGGUUAUGGUGCUUGGAGUGUUAUUU